Molecule: transfer-messenger RNA, 336 nt
Filed under: Escherichia coli
Lineage: Bacteria; Pseudomonadati; Pseudomonadota; Gammaproteobacteria; Enterobacterales; Enterobacteriaceae
Also listed under: 1 other name
Description: partial transfer-messenger RNA
Rfam family: transfer-messenger RNA
About the family: Bacterial tmRNA, also known as 10Sa RNA or SsrA, is named for its dual tRNA and mRNA-like properties. Its role is to liberate the mRNA from a stalled ribosome.
Source: RNAcentral
GGGGCUGAUUCUGGAUUCGACGGGAUUUGCGAAACCCAAGGUGCAUGCCGAGGGGCGGUUGGCCUCGUAAAAAGCCGCAAAAAAUAGUCGCAAACGACGAAAACUACGCUUUAGCAGCUUAAUAACCUGCUUAGAGCCCUCUCUCCCUAGCCUCCGCUCUUAGGACGGGGAUCAAGAGAGGUCAAACCCAAAAGAGAUCGCGUGGAAGCCCUGCCUGGGGUUGAAGCGUUAAAACUUAAUCAGGCUAGUUUGUUAGUGGCGUGUCCGUCCGCAGCUGGCAAGCGAAUGUAAAGACUGACUAAGCAUGUAGUACCGAGGAUGUAGGAAUUUCGGACG